CCUACGGGGCGCAGCAGUGGGGAAUAUUGGACAAUGGGCGAAAGCCUGAUCCAGCCAUGCCGCGUGUGUGAAGAAGGCCUUCGGGUUGUAAAGCACUUUCAGUGGGGAAGAAAGCCUUGGGGCUAAUACCCUCGAGGAAGGACAUCACCCACAGAAGAAGCACCGGCUAACUCCGUGCCAGCAGCCGCGGUAAUACGGAGGGUGCGAGCGUUAAUCGGAAUUACUGGGCGUAAAGCGCGCGUAGGCGGUCUGAUAAGCCGGUUGUGAAAGCCCCGGGCUCAACCUGGGAACGGCACCGGAACUGUCAGGCUAGAGUGCAGGAGAGGAAGGUAGAAUUCCCGGUGUAGCGGUGAAAUGCGUAGAGAUCGGGAGGAAUACCAGUGGCGAAGGCGGCCUUCUGGACUGACACUGACGCUGAGGUGCGAAAGCGUGGGUAGCAAACAGGAUUAGAUACCCUAGUAGUC
This 464-nucleotide ribosomal RNA is filed under the name Vreelandella stevensii. Its description in RNAcentral is "partial 16S ribosomal RNA". It matches the Rfam family "Bacterial small subunit ribosomal RNA", at positions 338 to 795 of the family's 1533-position model. The record is from RNAcentral. Lineage: Bacteria; Pseudomonadati; Pseudomonadota; Gammaproteobacteria; Oceanospirillales; Halomonadaceae.